AGCGUACACGGUGGAUGCCCUGGCAGUCAGAGGCGAUGAAGGACGUGCUAAUCUGCGAAAAGCGCCGGCGAGGUGAUAUGAACCCUUGACCCGGCGAUGUCCGAAUGGGGAAACCCAGUGCAAUCCGUUGCACUAUCGUUAACUGAAUACAUAGGUUAACGAGGCGAACCGGGGGAACUGAAACAUCUAAGUACCCCGAGGAAAAGAAAUCAACCGAGAUUCCCCCAGUAGCGGCGAGCGAACGGGGAGCAGCCCGGAGUCUGAAUCAGCUUGUGUGUUAGUGGAACGGUCUGGAAAGUCCGACGGUACAGGGUGAUAGUCCCGUACACGAAAGCACACUUGCUGUGAACUCGAAGAGUAGGGCGGGACACGUGGUAUCCUGUCUGAAUAUGGGGGGACCAUCCUCCAAGGCUAAAUACUCCUGACUGACCGAUAGUGAACCAGUACCGUGAGGGAAAGGCGAAAAGAACCCCGGCGAGGGGAGUGAAAAAGAACCUGAAACCGUGUACGUACAAGCAGUGGGAGCCUNGGUGACUGCGUACCUUUUGUAUAAUGGGUCAGCGACUUAUAUUCUGUAGCAAGGUUAACCGUAUAGGGGAGCCGAAGGGAAACCGAGUCUUAACUGGGCGUUAAGUUGCAGGGUAUAGACCCGAAACCCGGUGAUCUAGCCAUGGGCAGGUUGAAGGUUGGGUAACACUAACUGGAGGACCGAACCGACUAAUGUUGAAAAAUUAGCGGAUGACCUGUGGCUGGGGGUGAAAGGCCAAUCAAACCGGGAGAUAGCUGGUUCUCCCCGAAAGCUAUUUAGGUAGCGCCUCGUGAACUCAUCUUCGGGGGUAGAGCACUGUUUCGGCUAGGGGGCCAUCCCGGCUUACCAACCCGAUGCAAACUACGAAUACCGAAGAAUGUUAUCACGGGAGACACACGGCGGGUGCUAACGUCCGUCGUGAAGAGGGAAACAACCCAGACCGCCAGCUAAGGUCCCAAAGUCAUGGUUAAGUGGGAAACGAUGUGGGAAGGCACAGACAGCCAGGAUGUUGGCUUAGAAGCAGCCAUCAUUUAAAGAAAGCGUAAUAGCUCACUGGUCGAGUCGGCCUGCGCGGAAGAUGUAACGGGGCUAAACCAUGCACCGAAGCUGCGGCAGCGACACUAUGUGUUGUUGGGUAGGGGAGCGUUCUGUAAGCCGUUGAAGGUGGCCUGUGAGGGUUGCUGGAGGUAUCAGAAGUGCGAAUGCUGACAUAAGUAACGAUAAAGCGGGUGAAAAGCCCGCUCGCCGGAAGACCAAGGGUUCCUGUCCAACGUUAAUCGGGGCAGGGUGAGUCGACCCCUAAGGCGAGGCCGAAAGGCGUAGUCGAUGGGAAACAGGUUAAUAUUCCUGUACUUGGUGUUACUGCGAAGGGGGGACGGAGAAGGCUAUGUCAGCCGGGCGACGGUUGUCCCGGUUUAAGCAUGUAGGCGGAGGUUCCAGGUAAAUCCGGUACCUUUUAACGCUGAGGUGUGAUGACGAGGCACUACGGUGCUGAAGUGAUAAAUGCCCUGCUUCCAGGAAAAGCCUCUAAGCAUCAGGUAACACGAAAUCGUACCCCAAACCGACACAGGUGGUCAGGUAGAGAAUACCAAGGCGCUUGAGAGAACUCGGGUGAAGGAACUAGGCAAAAUGGUGCCGUAACUUCGGGAGAAGGCACGCUGAUGUGUAGGUGAAGCCCCUGCGGGCGGAGCUGAAAUCAGUCGAAGAUACCAGCUGGCUGCAACUGUUUAUUAAAAACACAGCACUGUGCAAACACGAAAGUGGACGUAUACGGUGUGACGCCUGCCCGGUGCCGGAAGGUUAAUUGAUGGGGUUAGCUGUAAGGCGAAGCUCUUGAUCGAAGCCCCGGUAAACGGCGGCCGUAACUAUAACGGUCCUAAGGUAGCGAAAUUCCUUGUCGGGUAAGUUCCGACCUGCACGAAUGGCGUAAUGAUGGCCAGGCUGUCUCCACCCGAGACUCAGUGAAAUUGAACUCGCUGUGAAGAUGCAGUGUACCCGCGGCAAGACGGAAAGACCCCGUGAACCUUUACUAUAGCUUGACACUGAACACUGGUCCUUGAUGUGUAGGAUAGGUGGGAGGCUUUGAAGCGUGGACGCCAGUCUGCGUGGAGCCAACCUUGAAAUACCACCCUUUAAUGGCUGGUGUUCUAACGUAGACCCGUAAUCCGGGUUGCGGACAGUGUCUGGUGGGUAGUUUGACUGGGGCGGUCUCCUCCCAAAGAGUAACGGAGGAGCACGAAGGUUGGCUAAUCCUGGUCGGACAUCAGGAGGUUAGUGCAAUGGCAUAAGCCAGCUUGACUGCGAGCGUGACGGCGCGAGCAGGUGCGAAAGCAGGUCAUAGUGAUCCGGUGGUUCUGAAUGGAAGGGCCAUCGCUCAACGGAUAAAAGGUACUCCGGGGAUAACAGGCUGAUACCGCCCAAGAGUUCAUAUCGACGGCGGUGUUUGGCACCUCGAUGUCGGCUCAUCACAUCCUGGGGCUGAAGUAGGUCCCAAGGGUAUGGCUGUUCGCCAUUUAAAGUGGUACGCGAGCUGGGUUUAGAACGUCGUGAGACAGUUCGGUCCCUAUCUGCCGUGGGCGCUGGAGAAUUGAGGGGGGCUGCUCCUAGUACGAGAGGACCGGAGUGGACGCAUCACUGGUGUUCGGGUUGUCAUGCCAAUGGCACUGCCCGGUAGCUAAAUGCGGAAGAGAUAAGUGCUGAAAGCAUCUAAGCACGAAACUUGCCCCGAGAUGAGUUCU
This 2766-nucleotide ribosomal RNA is filed under the name Enterobacter cloacae. Its description in RNAcentral is "bacterial LSU rRNA". It matches the Rfam family "Bacterial large subunit ribosomal RNA". The record is from RNAcentral. Lineage: Bacteria; Pseudomonadati; Pseudomonadota; Gammaproteobacteria; Enterobacterales; Enterobacteriaceae.